AACUUUGCGCAGUGGCGAUAUCGUAACCAAUGAGGUACAACCGAGGUGCGAUUAUUGCUAGUUGAAAACUUAUUUAGCCACCUUCUCAGCGCACAAGGUAUGCACCGUACAUUGUUUGAGUCAUUGUCACCUUCGUGUGCAG
Molecule: small nuclear RNA, 142 nt
Organism: Ochlerotatus camptorhynchus
Lineage: Eukaryota; Metazoa; Arthropoda; Insecta; Diptera; Culicidae
Product: U4 spliceosomal RNA
Exons: 1
Source: RefSeq, a predicted model, not a curated record